This is a non-coding RNA of Pelobates cultripes (western spadefoot toad), 1228 nucleotides long. The record is from the annotation of a GenBank genome assembly. Lineage: Eukaryota; Metazoa; Chordata; Amphibia; Anura; Pelobatidae.
CUCCGAACGCUGCAUCCACUCCCGCUAGGGACUAAACCCAUCGAACCCAUCUGGCGAGCGUAGUAACCAACACCGGGCUAUGUGGUCUAACAUAGGAAACCAGUAGUUGGCCAGAGUUAGAAGUUUGGAGUGGGGCUGUAGCUUCAGACACACAUACACUCACUGACAGACACACAUAAACACACAUGCACAUGCACUGACAGACGCACACUCGCUCAGUGUCAGAAACAAACCAAAUUAGAAUCAGACACAGACUGAGACACAUAUACUCACUGACAUACACACUCACUGACAGACACACAUCCACUCAGUGUCAGAGACACACAUUCACUGACAGACACACAUACACAAGCUGACAGACACACACACUCAGUGACAGACAAACACAUUCACUGGCAGACACAUAUAAACACUCACUGUGACAGACACACACACACACACACACACACACUGACAGACACAUAUACACUCUCACUGACAAACACACAUACACUCUUACUGACAAACAAACUUACUAACAGACACACACGCAAUUUAUAAUUUUGUUUUAAACUUCACUCCACCCAGACUCCCUACCUUUGGGAGUGCUGGCAUGGAGUCUAUUUCCCUGGGGCUUCUGGGCUGAGUGGCUGGGCAUGCAGUCAAUGUAGACGUGCAAGGGAGCUCUGAUCUCCCUGUUCAGCCUCGCACUAGAAACAGAGCUGUCUGUAUCGCCUUUUUUCUAAAGAAAACAGUUCCUGUUUUUCUACAUAACUAAUGUUUUCCAUCCCCCUCAUGUGUUUUUUAGCGCACUUUUUCUAGUUUUGCAAUAUCCAUCUUUAAAACUACUGCCCAAAAUUUAAAUGCAUACUCAAGGGGAGUCUUACCACUGAUUUGAAAAGAGACAAAAUUAUAUUUGGAUCACGUGAAUCAUUGCACACUGUUGCCUAAUUUGUGAUUUAUAAUUGAACCCAAGUUAUUUUCUUUUAAUGUUAUUCCUAACUCUGCCUCAUUUAAUGCAUAAGUGGCUUGUGAGUUCUUCAUUUCAAAAUGCAUGACUUUGCAUUUAUCUGUAUUGAAUCUCAUCUGUCCUUUGCCUGGCCAGCCCUCCAAUGUAUCCGAAUCCCUCUGUAGAGAAGUUAUAUCAUGUUCAGAUUGCAUUUUCUUAACUAGUUUUGUGUCAUCUGCAAACACUGACACAUGUCUUUCAAUGUCCACUUCAAGAUCAUUUAUAAACAGAUUAACGAGA